GCGGUCGUGGCGGAACUGGUAGACGCGCAACGUUGAGGUCGUUGUGCCCGAAAGGGCGUGGAAGUUCGAGUCUUCUCGACCGCACCA
Molecule: transfer RNA, 87 nt
Filed under: Sphingomonas sp. SP1
Lineage: Bacteria; Pseudomonadati; Pseudomonadota; Alphaproteobacteria; Sphingomonadales; Sphingomonadaceae
Also listed under: 3 other names
Description: tRNA-Leu
Rfam family: tRNA
About the family: Transfer RNA (tRNA) molecules are approximately 80 nucleotides in length.
Source: RNAcentral